UGGAUGUUUUUUUUCUCUUGCCGAAACGACACCGUUUAUUUCUCACAUUUAAUUCCUCUCAAGCUCUCAAGCCGAACGAAUCCUCUCUUCAGCUCUCUGUCUCGUCUCGUCUCGUCUCUCAAGUUCUCAUCCAAAACCUUAGCCGUGCUGAUUGCGAAUCUAUCUAUCUUUGUCUCUGUUUGUAUGCUAAUCGAAACCAAUGAGCUAUGUAUUGGCACAUAUCUAAAGGAUCAUGGACAUUCUCAAUGGAGGACUAAGGCUGGCAAGUCUCUGAUGUCACAGGAGAGGGGUUGAAGUUAAUGCUUCAAUUCUGUCAUGAUACAUGUAUAUACUAAAAUCCCACAUUCUCAAGGUUUGUUCCAAAGAGUAGCAAUGGUGGUUUCCCAGCAUGGGAGCCUGGGAGAGCAUCCCCAUGGAUGCAGGUAACUUCAACAAUUAUAAUUAACUCUACAUAACUCGUUUCAAGAUUUCUGUUGAAAUUGAUGCUGUUGGCAGCUUAUGGAAACUCAAUCCAGCAAAAAAUUUUCCAAAAUGGUCAUCACCAGAUCAAUGUGAAAGAAAUCAAUUUUUUCCCCAAUUCAAGAUUGAAGAUGUGAAGAGUAUUAAUUUGUAUUAGUUUAAUUAGUUGUGAUGUAUUAUUAAUUAUUUUGUUCUUUGUAAAUUUAUGUUUUGUUUUGUGAUGUAACAACAAUAUUAUCUAGUUUGCAUUUUUUUUUAUUUUGUUCU
This is a long non-coding RNA of Carya illinoinensis, 726 nucleotides long. RefSeq lists it as uncharacterized. The transcript has 3 exons. NCBI's taxonomy places the organism in Eukaryota, Viridiplantae, Streptophyta, Magnoliopsida, Fagales, Juglandaceae. The record is from RefSeq and is a predicted model, not a curated record.